RNAcentral lists this long non-coding RNA (1023 nucleotides) under Coturnix japonica (Japanese quail). Its description in RNAcentral is "lncRNA (ENSCJPG00005002445.1)". Lineage: Eukaryota; Metazoa; Chordata; Aves; Galliformes; Phasianidae. The record is from RNAcentral.
AUGGGGCGGCGGGUGAUGGGGAUGGGGACGGGGGUCGAUGGGGACGGGGAUGGUGCCCGUGGGGCGCAGCGCGUGUCCGCAGUGUCCGUGGGGCGGUCACGGCUGCGCCCGUGGGAAGCGCUGUGGGAAGGGGCUGGGGACGGUGCCCACCCGGGAUGGGGACGAAGGAGGAUGGAGGCCCAGCGAUGGCGCCGUGCCGCCCCCAGACCCCGCCGUGUCCCGCGUGGAUCCGGGCUGUCCCGCAGCACAACGGGGCGCGACGUGGGGCCGGGGGCGGCCACGUGCACUACGGGAACUGCGGGGGUCAAUGGGGACGGAACCGGGGGGACCCGACCCGCAGCCCGCGACCCUCCCGUCCCACCCCACCUCUUUCCCAGCAGCCCCCACGCUCUGCCCCCACCCCCUCCCGGACUACAAUUCCCAUCGUGCUCAGGUUUAAAGGGCCGUUGUCAUGGCGGGGGGGUCCCACCCCCACAACACAGAGGGUCCCCGGGGGGGGGGGGGGCAGCCAGGGGAUGGGAACAGCCACAGGGUUGGGGUCGGGGACGGACAAACCCACGGCGAAAGCCCACGGGGGUUGAGGAGGCUCGGGGGGGGGGCAGCCAUAGGAUGGUGGCACAGUGGUACCCAAGGGAUGGCAGUGCCCGGGGGGGGGUCCCAUUGGCACAGCCACUAAUGGAUCCCCCCAUCCCCCCCCAGCACUCCCCCCAUGGUGCUGCCCUGCUCCGUGUCCCUCUGAUCCCACAGCCCCCACCACCCCAUGACCCCUCCUGCUCCCCCUGUGUGCCCCCCCCGCCCCCAUGUCCCCCUCCCUUCCCCCCCCCCUAUAGCUGGGCUGCCAGCGUGGCAGGGAGGGGUGUUGUUGCCCCCAGCCCCGCCGUGCUGUGCCGUACACUUUAUCCUCAGCAAACACAGCGCACCCACAGCCCCCCCCCGCCACCACCGUCUGUCUGUGAUAACACCAGGGCUGGGCUGAGCCGCUGCCCCCCAGCUGCACCCAUGGGGGAGUGGUGGGGAAACUGA